RNAcentral lists this ribosomal RNA (470 nucleotides) under Mycobacterium sp. RNAcentral describes it as "bacterial SSU rRNA". It matches the Rfam family "Bacterial small subunit ribosomal RNA", at positions 574 to 1043 of the family's 1533-position model. Lineage: Bacteria; Bacillati; Actinomycetota; Actinomycetes; Mycobacteriales; Mycobacteriaceae. The record is from RNAcentral.
GGUGGUUUGUCGCGUUGUUCGUGAAAACCGGAGGCUCAACCUCUGGCGUGCGGGCGAUACGGGCAGACUUGAGUACUGCAGGGGAGACUGGAAUUCCUGGUGUAGCGGUGGAAUGCGCAGAUAUCAGGAGGAACACCGGUGGCGAAGGCGGGUCUCUGGGCAGUAACUGACGCUGAGGAGCGAAAGCGUGGGGAGCGAACAGGAUUAGAUACCCUGGUAGUCCACGCCGUAAACGGUGGGUACUAGGUGUGGGUUUCCUUCCUUGGGAUCCGUGCCGUAGCUAACGCAUUAAGUACCCCGCCUGGGGAGUACGGCCGCAAGGCUAAAACUCAAAGAAAUUGACGGGGGCCCGCACAAGCGGCGGAGCAUGUGGAUUAAUUCGAUGCAACGCGAAGAACCUUACCUGGGUUUGACRUGCACARGACGYGCCYAGAGAUGGGUAUUCCCUUGUGGCCUGUGUGCAGGUGGUG